This 433-nucleotide ribosomal RNA is filed under the name uncultured bacterium. RNAcentral's name for it is "partial 16S ribosomal RNA". It matches the Rfam family "Bacterial small subunit ribosomal RNA", at positions 29 to 507 of the family's 1533-position model. The record is from RNAcentral.
AACGAACGCUGGCGGCAUGCCUAACACAUGCAAGUCGAACGAGACCUUCGGGUCUAGUGGCGCACGGAUGCGUAACGCGUGGGAACCUGCCCUUAGGUUCGGAAUAACUCCCCGAAAGGGGUGCUAAUACCGGAUAAUGUCUUCGGACCAAAGAUUUAUCGCCUUUGGAUGGGCCCGCGUUGGAUUAGCUAGUUGGUAGGGUAAAAGCCUACCAAGGCGACGAUCCAUAGCUGGUCUGAGAGGAUGAUCAGCCACACUGGGACUGAGACACGGCCCAGACUCCUACGGGAGGCAGCAGUGGGGAAUAUUGGACAAUGGGCGAAAGCCUGAUCCAGCAAUGCCGCGUGAGUGAUGAAGGCCUUAGGGUUGUAAAGCUCUUUUACCGGGGAUGAUAAUGACAGUACCGGGAGAAUAAGCUCCGGCUAACUCCGUG